RNAcentral lists this ribosomal RNA (440 nucleotides) under uncultured bacterium. RNAcentral's name for it is "partial 16S ribosomal RNA". It matches the Rfam family "Bacterial small subunit ribosomal RNA", at positions 338 to 795 of the family's 1533-position model. The record is from RNAcentral.
CCUACGGGAGGCAGCAGUGGGGAAUAUUGCACAAUGGGGGAAACCCUGAUGCAGCGACGCCGCGUGAAGGAAGAAGGAUUUCGGUAUGUAAACUUCUAUCAGCAGGGAAGAAAAUGACGGUACCUGACUAAGUAUCCCCGGUCAACUACGUGCCAGCAGCCGCGGUAAUACGGAGGGGGCAAGCGUUAUCCGGAAGUACUGGGCGUAAAGGGAGCGUAGGCGGGGCAGCAAGUCAGACGUGAAAGCCCGGGGCUCAACUCCGGGACUGCUUUUGAAACUGUUGAACUAGAUUGCAGGAGAGGUAAGUGGAAUGCCAAGUGUAGCGGUGAAAUGCGUAGAUAUUAGGAGGAACACCAGUGGCGAAGGCGGCUUACUGGACUGUAAAUGACGCUGAGGCUCGAAAGCGUGGGGAGCAAACAGGAUUAGAUACCCGUGUAGUC